CCGUGGGAGCCGAAGUGACGCUCGGCUUCAGCAUCAGCAACCGCUCGUAGUAAGGAAAUUCGUACAGAGAGAGGCGAAGGAACAUGACCACUUUCUCCAAUAAGCCAGACUCCAAACCCCACCUUUCUUCUUUUCAAGAAACGACAUUAAGGAACCCAUCAGGGACCAUAGCAACUUUUAUUCACUGUUCAAAGGCUAACUCAACUAUCACCAUCCCAGUCUGUUCCUUGUUUAUAGUUCUGAUAUUAGUAUUCAAGGUUGGCAAUUGUUUAAACACCAGCAGUUUACCUUAUCACCAGGAUUUGAACUGAUACGACUACUUCUUUGAAUAAAACUCUAAUAUGGACAAAGCAGAUAGAGACACC
Molecule: long non-coding RNA, 365 nt
Filed under: Pan troglodytes (chimpanzee)
Lineage: Eukaryota; Metazoa; Chordata; Mammalia; Primates; Hominidae
Description: long non-coding RNA NONPTRT003591
Source: RNAcentral